Molecule: ribosomal RNA, 465 nt
Filed under: uncultured bacterium
Lineage: Bacteria
Description: partial 16S ribosomal RNA
Rfam family: Bacterial small subunit ribosomal RNA
Source: RNAcentral
GACGAACGCUGGCGGCGUGCUUAACACAUGCAAGUCGUACGGUAAGGCCCUUUCGGGGGUACACGAGUGGCGAACGGGUGAGUAACACGUGAGUAACCUGCCCACAACUUUGGGAUAACGCUAGGAAACUGGUGCUAAUACUGGAUAUGUGCCCCUGCUGCAUGGUGGGGGUUGGAAAGCUCCGGCGGUUGUGGAUGGACUCGCGGCCUAUCAGCUUGUUGGUGGGGUAGUGGCCUACCAAGGCGGCGACGGGUAGCCGGCCUGAGAGGGUGACCGGCCACAUUGGGACUGAGAUACGGCCCAGACUCCUACGGGAGGCAGCAGUGGGGAAUAUUGCACAAUGGGCGCAAGCCUGAUGCAGCAACGCCGCGUGCGGGAUGACGGCCUUCGGGUUGUAAACCGCUUUCAGCAGGGACGAUGCUUUUUGUGACGGUACCUGCAGAAGAAGCACCGGCUAACUACGUG